GAUGAACGCUGGCGGCGUGCCUAAUACAUGCAAGUCGAGCGAACAGACGAGGAGCUUGCUCCUCUGACGUUAGCGGCGGACGGGUGAGUAACACGUGGAUAACCUACCUAUAAUACUGGGAUAACUUCGGGAAACCGGAGCUAAUACCGGAUAAUAUAUUGAACCGCAUGGUUCAAUAGUGAAAGACGGUUUUGCUGUCACUUAUAGAUGGAUCCGCGCCGCAUUAGCUGGUUGGUAAGGUAACGGCUUACCAAGGCAACGAUGCGUAGCCGACCUGAGAGGGUGAUCGGCCACAUUGGAACUGAGACACGGUCCAGACUACUACGGGAGGCAGCAGUAGGGAAUCUUCCGCAAUGGGCGAAAGCCUGACGGAGCAACGCCCCGUGAGUGAUGAAGGUCUUCGGAUCGUAAAACUCUGUUAUUAGGGAAGAACAAAUGUGUAAGUAACUAUGCACGUCUUGACGGUACCUAAUCAGAAAGCCACGGCUAACUACGUG
RNAcentral lists this ribosomal RNA (497 nucleotides) under uncultured bacterium. Its description in RNAcentral is "partial 16S ribosomal RNA". It matches the Rfam family "Bacterial small subunit ribosomal RNA", at positions 28 to 507 of the family's 1533-position model. The record is from RNAcentral.